Molecule: ribosomal RNA, 519 nt
Filed under: uncultured Acidobacteriaceae bacterium
Lineage: Bacteria; Pseudomonadati; Acidobacteriota; Terriglobia; Terriglobales; Acidobacteriaceae
Description: bacterial SSU rRNA
Rfam family: Bacterial small subunit ribosomal RNA
Source: RNAcentral
GUGACUAACCUACCCUCGAGUGGGGAAUAACCCCGGGAAACCGGGGCUAACACCGCAUAACAUCGAGAGAUCAAAUGCGAAAGCAGCUUGAGGAGGGGGUCGCGGUUGAUUAGCUAGUUGGUAGGGUAAUGGCCUACCAAGGCAAUGAUCAAUAGCCGGCCUGAGAGGGCGCACGGCCACACUGGAACUGAAACACGGUCCAGACUCCUACGGGAGGCAGCAGUGGGGAAUUUUGCGCAAUGGGGGAAACCCUGACGCAGCAAUGCCGCGUGGAGGAUGAAGUCCUUUGGGAUGUAAACUCCUUUCGAUCGGGAAGAUAAUGACGGUACCGGAAGAAGAAGCCCCGGCUAACUCUGUGCCAGCAGCCGCGGUAAUACAGAGGGGGCAAGCGUUGUUCGGAAUUAUUGGGCGUAAAGGGCGCGUAGGCGGUGCGGUAAGUCACUUGUGAAAUCUCUGGGCUCAACUCAGAGUCUGCAAGCGAAACUGCCGUGCUUGAGUGUCGGAGAGGUAAGUGGAAUU